ACAGAAAUUUUACACAUUUUUAUUUAGAAUAAUUACCUAUAUACCCUUUAGAACUUUUGAAAUAUCUUAUUUAUCGCUAUUUUUUUUUCUUUUCAAUAUAUCUCUCAUAUAUUCCUUCAUUAUUCCAAAAUACCUCUACAGUUACCAUCCGUUAAGUUAAUUUGAGUUAAACGUAAGUUAAAUAUUUACUAGAGUUAAAAAAAAAAAAU
Molecule: long non-coding RNA, 209 nt
Filed under: Ananas comosus (pineapple)
Lineage: Eukaryota; Viridiplantae; Streptophyta; Magnoliopsida; Poales; Bromeliaceae
Description: long non-coding RNA (ACOM_LNC017698)
Source: RNAcentral